Molecule: ribosomal RNA, 119 nt
Filed under: Anolis carolinensis (green anole)
Lineage: Eukaryota; Metazoa; Chordata; Lepidosauria; Squamata; Anolidae
Source: RNAcentral
GAGAAGGGCCUAAAUUCCCUAAAGGCACUCAAUCCCAUUUGAUCUUGGAAGCUAAGCAGGGUCAGCGCUGCUUAGCACUUGGAUGGGAGACCAGCAAUGAAUACCAGGUGUUGUUUAUU